AGUGAACGCUGGCGGCAGGCCUAACACAUGCAAGUCGAGCGGCAGCGGGCUGUAGCAAUACAGUGCCGGCGAGCGGCGGACGGGUGAGGAAUACAUCGGAAUCUACCUUGUCGUGGGGGAUAACGUAGGGAAACUUACGCUAAUACCGCAUACGAACUACGGUUGAAAGCGGAGGACCGCAAGGCUUCGCGCGAUUGGAUGAGCCGAUGUCGGAUUAGCUAGUUGGCGGGGUAAUGGCCCACCAAGGCGACGAUCCGUAGCUGGUCUGAGAGGAUGAUCAGCCACAUUGGGACUGAGACACGGCCCAAACUCCUACGGGAGGCAGCAGUGGGGAAUAUUGGACAAUGGGCGCAAGCCUGAUCCAGCCAUGCCGCGUGAGUGAUGAAGGCCUUAGGGUUGUAAAGCUCUUUUGUCCGGGAAGAUAAUGACUGUACCGGAAGAAUAAGCCCCGGCUAACUUCGUGCCAGCAGCCGCGGUAAU
RNAcentral lists this ribosomal RNA (480 nucleotides) under uncultured bacterium. RNAcentral describes it as "bacterial SSU rRNA". It matches the Rfam family "Bacterial small subunit ribosomal RNA", at positions 29 to 524 of the family's 1533-position model. The record is from RNAcentral.